GUGGUUAUUCAAGUCAUACCAGAAUCAGAUUCAGAAGCAGAGAGACGUGCAGUGUUCGAUUUGGACACGAUAGAAUUAGACAGAGGAAGCCAGUCCACCGGCAAGGAAUUCCAAAGUAGAAUGCAAUCCUCGAGUAAUCAGCAAGUGAAAAAAAUGAAAACAUCUCUGCAGGAAAAGG
Molecule: long non-coding RNA, 178 nt
Organism: Mya arenaria
Lineage: Eukaryota; Metazoa; Mollusca; Bivalvia; Myida; Myidae
Exons: 4
Source: RefSeq, a predicted model, not a curated record